Molecule: ribosomal RNA, 253 nt
Filed under: uncultured bacterium
Lineage: Bacteria
Description: partial 16S ribosomal RNA
Rfam family: Bacterial small subunit ribosomal RNA
Source: RNAcentral
UACGGAGGGUGCAAGCGUUAUCCGGAUUCACUGGGUUUAAAGGGUGCGUAGGCGGACAGGUAAGUCCGUGGUGAAAUCUCUGAGCUUAACUCAGAAACUGCCAUGGAUACUAUUUGUCUUGAAUACUGUGGAGGUAAGCGGAAUAUGUCAUGUAGCGGUGAAAUGCUUAGAUAUGACAUGGAACACCAAUUGCGAAGGCAGCUUACUACACAAAUAUUGACGCUGAGGCACGAAAGCGUGGGGAUCAAACAGG